UACAUCCUUAACUGAAGUUUUGUGGGUUUGAAUAUCAGCAUUUACUGUAUUGGAAAUUAAAACAAAAUUUAAAGUUUUAAGUUAAUUAUGUUAAACUCAUUACUUGCUAGCAUAAGUAACAUUCUUAAAAUUAUCAGCUUGUUAUAUAUUACCCUAAAGAAUAUUUUUCUGAAACAGAAUAAAUCAGAUCAAAAUGGUGAAAAGAGUGGCAUUGUUUUACAUUUUGGCUAAUCUCUUUAAUGUCAGGCUUAAUAGAAGACAGCUGGAUUUUCACAUCUGCUUCUAUGUUCAGUCUGUGUUUGGAUGGUUAAUGUAUAUGAACAAAUACCUAGCCAGACACAGGUACAUAAUUGGAAAUAUGAAGGGUAUCUUAAUGGUCUUUUGAGAAUGCUGUGGAUGUUCUUUGUUGUUGCUGCACUUAAAUUUGACAAGUAGUAGUUUCCUAAGGGUUAGGUAAAUGUGGAAUCUGAAGGCUAUCAGUGACUUUUUUCUAUUUUGUUUCAUUAAAAUCUUGGGUCUAAUUUGUACAUCGAGUGGCUUUUCUGCUCAUGCAUGAUUUUGUAAUAUGUCUUAAUCAUUUGGAAAAUACUGGUUCACUUUCUCAAAUGUUAACAAUUUUUAUGCUAUACCAAAAAGUUAUAUUUGCUUAAGUAUUAUGAAACUCACCAUAAAAAAAUUAUUGUGCUGAUGUUUGAACCCAGGGUCUCUUGCUGCUCUUCACUGAGCUAUGAAUCCAGGCUCCUGGAACAAUUUUGAAGUAAAAGGAAGCUGGUACAGUGAUUGAUCCAACUGUUUUAAAAUUCUAAUUUUUGCUUAAAUGUUUGUGUUUAUCAUUGGCACCCAAACUAUCAGUUUCCCUUGAAUUAGCAGUUUUUUUUACUUGGUUUCUUUUGGAAAAAAAUUCUGCACAAUAUCUAAGCAGAAAUAGUAUAGUUUGUCAGUCAUUCCAUUCACUCUGCAACUCACAAUUAUACUAGUGCAUUGCUUUGUAUUUGGUACACAGCAAAAGUGCUUUAUGCAGAAUUCCUACUUGUCACAGAGAAUAUUAAAAGGACAUUUACUCAAGGUACAAUUAAAUGAAUGAUUUUUACUAUUUCAUCAAGGAUAUUCUGGGGUGAAACCUGACUUGAAAAACUGCAAUGCCUGAUGGUAAUAAAUUAUACAUUCACUGUUAGUACAGUAUGGUGUCAUUGUUUUGCUUCAUGCUAAGACACUAGCUAUUUUAUACACUUUGUUUGUGCACCACCAAUGUCAGUGUCAGCACUGUGAAAAAGUCACUAUCUGAGGGUUGUAAAAAUAAUUUUGAAUUUGUGAGCUCUUGAAAGAGUCCAUGUGCAGCCUUUGACAACUACAAGUCUAUGCCAGCCAGGCAAGUACUGUGUAACUGAGCUACAUCUCCAGCACUGGAGAGCUACAAGUUUACAUAAAAUGAAAUACAUACACAGUUGAUUCUGAAACCAUUAUUUCAUCUGCAUCUGGUUCACCUAUAUGGAAAGGUUAUCAGAAAAGAAACAGGUUUUUCAGUAUGCUGAUUCUGAAGGCAAUAGGAUGUAUUUUCAAGUCAUUAUUGUUAUCCCUUGGAGGUAUUUGUUAUGUGCCUACAUAAAUGUGAAGUUCUGCUGAAUAUUCUGCAACUAUAAAACAGCUUUUGCCUUUACAAAGUGGAUCCUGUAACCAAUCUUGGCUGCACACAUAAAAGAAAAAGGGAAAGAUUAACAGAUGGACUUUCGUUGAGUCACAGUUUUCCAUGCAAAAAUAGUUCAAGCUUCCUCAGGUGCCUGGGCAAAUCACUAAGUGAUUAUUUAGAAAAUAAAGGAGCUAUAGAUUUCUAAUUUUUCAAUAUU
Molecule: long non-coding RNA, 1844 nt
Organism: Perognathus longimembris pacificus (Pacific pocket mouse)
Lineage: Eukaryota; Metazoa; Chordata; Mammalia; Rodentia; Heteromyidae
Exons: 2
Source: RefSeq, a predicted model, not a curated record